Molecule: transfer RNA, 28 nt
Filed under: Spathodea campanulata (African tulip tree)
Lineage: Eukaryota; Viridiplantae; Streptophyta; Magnoliopsida; Lamiales; Bignoniaceae
Also listed under: 1 other name
Description: partial tRNA-His
Source: RNAcentral
CGGAUGUAGCCUAGUGGAUCAAGGCAGU